ACCUAUGGCCAUACCACCCUGAGUGCACUGGAUCUCAUCUGAUCUUGGAAGCUAAGCAAAGUCAAGUGUUGUUAGUACUUGGAUGGGAGAAAACAUUCAUUACCAACUCUGCAAGGACUCUGGCCUGGGUA
This is a ribosomal RNA of Capra hircus (goat), 131 nucleotides long. The record is from Ensembl. Lineage: Eukaryota; Metazoa; Chordata; Mammalia; Artiodactyla; Bovidae.